This 24-nucleotide small nuclear RNA is filed under the name Arabidopsis thaliana (thale cress). Its description in RNAcentral is "snRNA_11373". Lineage: Eukaryota; Viridiplantae; Streptophyta; Magnoliopsida; Brassicales; Brassicaceae. The record is from RNAcentral.
UCUCCAAGGUGAACAGCCUCUGGU